GUCUUCUUGGUUGUUUAGGAGGUCGGGCCUGCCCGGUGAUAAUUAUUUAACGGCCGCGGUAUCUUGACCGUGCAAAGGUAGCAUAAUCAUUAGUCUUUUAAUAGGGGGCUGGAAUGAAAGGUUUGACAAAGCAUCAGCUGUCUCAAUUUGAUUAUUAAAAUUUAACUUUUGAGUUAAAAGGCUCAAAUUUUGUUGGAAGACGAGAAGACCCUAUAGAGCUUUACAUCUAUGAGUUUUGGAUUUAUUUUGUUGAAUUGAUUAUUUUCUGUUCUUUAGGUGUUUUGUUGGGGAGACAAGAAAUAUUUAAUUAACUUUUAUUAUUUAUUAUACAUUUAUUUAUGAUUAUUAGAUCCUUUAUUAUUGAUUGUUAGACUAAGUUACCUUAGGGAUAACAGCGUAAUCUUCUUUUGGAGUUCAAAUUUACAAGAAGGGUUGCGACCUCGAUGUUGGAUUAAGAUAAUAGUUGGGUGUAGUAGCUUGAUUAAUAGGUCUGUUCGACCUUUAAAUUCUUACAUGAUCUGAGUUCAGACCGG
This 533-nucleotide ribosomal RNA is filed under the name Archaeopodagrion armatum. RNAcentral's name for it is "partial 16S ribosomal RNA". It matches the Rfam family "Bacterial large subunit ribosomal RNA", at positions 1831 to 2619 of the family's 2925-position model. Lineage: Eukaryota; Metazoa; Arthropoda; Insecta; Odonata; Philogeniidae. The record is from RNAcentral.